GGUUAAGCGACUAAGCGUACACGGUGGAUGCCCUGGCAGUCAGAGGCGAUGAAGGACGUGCUAAUCUGCGAAAAGCGUCGGUAAGGUGAUAUGAACCGUUAUAACCGGCGAUGUCCGAAUGGGGAAACCCAGUGUGUUUCGACACACUAUCAUUAACUGAAUCCAUAGGUUAAUGAGGCGAACCGGGGGAACUGAAACAUCUAAGUACCCCGAGGAAAAGAAAUCAACCGAGAUUCCCCCAGUAGCGGCGAGCGAACGGGGAGGAGCCCAGAGCCUGAAUCAGUGUGUGUGUUAGUGGAAGCGUCUGGAAAGGCGCGCGAUACAGGGUGACAGCCCCGUACACAAAAAUGCACAUGCUGUGAGCUCGAUGAGUAGGGCGGGACACGUGGUAUCCUGUCUGAAUAUGGGGGGACCAUCCUCCAAGGCUAAAUACUCCUGACUGACCGAUAGUGAACCAGUACCGUGAGGGAAAGGCGAAAAGAACCCCGGCGAGGGGAGUGAAAAAGAACCUGAAACCGUGUACGUACAAGCAGUGGGAGCCCUGAUUUAUCAGGGUGACUGCGUACCUUUUGUAUAAUGGGUCAGCGACUUAUAUUCUGUAGCAAGGUUAACCGAAUAGGGGAGCCGGAGGGAAACCGAGUCUUAACUGGGCGUUAAGUUGCAGGGUAUAGACCCGAAACCCGGUGAUCUAGCCAUGGGCAGGUUGAAGGUUGGGUAACACUAACUGGAGGACCGAACCGACUAAUGUUGAAAAAUUAGCGGAUGACUUGUGGCUGGGGGUGAAAGGCCAAUCAAACCGGGAGAUAGCUGGUUCUCCCCGAAAGCUAUUUAGGUAGCGCCUCGUGAAUUCAUCUCCGGGGGUAGAGCACUGUUUCGGCAAGGGGGUCAUCCCGACUUACCAACCCGAUGCAAACUGCGAAUACCGGAGAAUGUUAUCACGGGAGACACACGGCGGGUGCUAACGUCCGUCGUGAAGAGGGAAACAACCCAGACCGCCAGCUAAGGUCCCAAAGUCAUGGUUAAGUGGGAAACGAUGUGGGAAGGCCCAGACAGCCAGGAUGUUGGCUUAGAAGCAGCCAUCAUUUAAAGAAAGCGUAAUAGCUCACUGGUCGAGUCGGCCUGCGCGGAAGAUGUAACGGGGCUAAACCAUGCACCGAAGCUGCGGCAGCGACACUGUGUGUUGUUGGGUAGGGGAGCGUUCUGUAAGCCUGCGAAGGUGUGCUGUGAGGUAUGCUGGAGGUAUCAGAAGUGCGAAUGCUGACAUAAGUAACGAUAAAGCGGGUGAAAAGCCCGCUCGCCGGAAGACCAAGGGUUCCUGUCCAACGUUAAUCGGGGCAGGGUGAGUCGACCCCUAAGGCGAGGCCGAAAGGCGUAGUCGAUGGGAAACAGGUUAAUAUUCCUGUACUUGGUGUUACUGCGAAGGGGGGACGGAGAAGGCUAUGUUGGCCGGGCGACGGUUGUCCCGGUUUAAGCGUGUGUAGGCUGGUUUUCCAGGCAAAUCCGGAAAAUCAAGGCUGAGGCGUGAUGACGAGGCACUACGGUGCUGAAGCGACAAAUGCCCUGCUUCCAGGAAAAGCCUCUAAGCAUCAGGUAACAUCAAAUCGUACCCCAAACCGACACAGGUGGUCAGGUAGAGAAUACCAAGGCGCUUGAGAGAACUCGGGUGAAGGAACUAGGCAAAAUGGUGCCGUAACUUCGGGAGAAGGCACGCUGAUAUGUAGGUGAAGCGACUUGCUCGUGGAGCUGAAAUCAGUCGAAGAUACCAGCUGGCUGCAACUGUUUAUUAAAAACACAGCACUGUGCAAACACGAAAGUGGACGUAUACGGUGUGACGCCUGCCCGGUGCCGGAAGGUUAAUUGAUGGGGUCAGCGCAAGCGAAGCUCUUGAUCGAAGCCCCGGUAAACGGCGGCCGUAACUAUAACGGUCCUAAGGUAGCGAAAUUCCUUGUCGGGUAAGUUCCGACCUGCACGAAUGGCGUAAUGAUGGCCAGGCUGUCUCCACCCGAGACUCAGUGAAAUUGAACUCGCUGUGAAGAUGCAGUGUACCCGCGGCAAGACGGAAAGACCCCGUGAACCUUUACUAUAGCUUGACACUGAACACUGGUCCUUGAUGUGUAGGAUAGGUGGGAGGCUUUGAAGUGUGGACGCCAGUCUGCAUGGAGCCGUCCUUGAAAUACCACCCUUUAAUGGCUGGUGUUCUAACGUGGGCCCGUAAUCCGGGUUGCGGACAGUGUCUGGUGGGUAGUUUGACUGGGGCGGUCUCCUCCUAAAGAGUAACGGAGGAGCACGAAGGUUGGCUAAUCCUGGUCGGACAUCAGGAGGUUAGUGCAAUGGCAUAAGCCAGCUUGACUGCGAGCGUGACGGCGCGAGCAGGUGCGAAAGCAGGUCAUAGUGAUCCGGUGGUUCUGAAUGGAAGGGCCAUCGCUCAACGGAUAAAAGGUACUCCGGGGAUAACAGGCUGAUACCGCCCAAGAGUUCAUAUCGACGGCGGUGUUUGGCACCUCGAUGUCGGCUCAUCACAUCCUGGGGCUGAAGUAGGUCCCAAGGGUAUGGCUGUUCGCCAUUUAAAGUGGUACGCGAGCUGGGUUUAGAACGUCGUGAGACAGUUCGGUCCCUAUCUGCCGUGGGCGCUGGAGAACUGAGGGGGGCUGCUCCUAGUACGAGAGGACCGGAGUGGACGCAUCACUGGUGUUCGGGUUGUCAUGCCAAUGGCACUGCCCGGUAGCUAAAUGCGGAAGAGAUAAGUGCUGAAAGCAUCUAAGCACGAAACUUGCCCCGAGAUGAGUUCUCCCUGAGACUUAGAGUCUCCUGAAGGAACGUUGAAGACGACGACGUUGAUAGGCCGGGUGUGUAAGCGCAGCGAUGCGUUGAGCUAACCGGUACUAAUGAACCGUGAGGCUUAACCUU
Molecule: ribosomal RNA, 2907 nt
Filed under: Escherichia albertii
Lineage: Bacteria; Pseudomonadati; Pseudomonadota; Gammaproteobacteria; Enterobacterales; Enterobacteriaceae
Description: 23S ribosomal RNA
Rfam family: Bacterial large subunit ribosomal RNA
Source: RNAcentral